GUGCCAGCAGCCGCGGUGAUACGUAGGGUGCGAGCGUUGUCCGGAUUUAUUGGGCGUAAAGGGCUCGUAGGUGGUUGAUCGCGUCGGAAGUGUAAUCUUGGGGCUUAACCCUGAGCGUGCUUUCGAUACGGGUUGACUUGAGGAAGGUAGGGGAGAAUGGAAUUCCUGGUGGAGCGGUGGAAUGCGCAGAUAUCAGGAGGAACACCAGUGGCGAAGGCGGUUCUCUGGGCCUUUCCUGACGCUGAGGAGCGAAAGCGUGGGGAGCGAACAGGCUUAGAUACCCUGGUAGUCC
This 292-nucleotide ribosomal RNA is filed under the name uncultured microorganism. RNAcentral describes it as "partial 16S ribosomal RNA". It matches the Rfam family "Bacterial small subunit ribosomal RNA", at positions 505 to 796 of the family's 1533-position model. The record is from RNAcentral.